Molecule: ribosomal RNA, 251 nt
Filed under: uncultured bacterium
Lineage: Bacteria
Description: partial 16S ribosomal RNA
Rfam family: Bacterial small subunit ribosomal RNA
Source: RNAcentral
GACGGGGGGGGCAAGUGUUCUUCGGAAUGACUGGGCGUCAAGGGCACGUAGGCGGUGAAUCGGGUUGAAAGUGAAAGUCGCCAAAAAGUGGCGGAAUGCUCUCGAAACCAAUUCACUUGAGUGGGACAGAGGAGAGUGGAAUUUCGUGUGUAGGGGUGAAAUCCGUAGAUCUACGAAGAAAGGCCAAAAGCGAAGGCAGCUCUCUGGGUCCCUACCGACGCUGGGGUGCGAAAGCAUGGGGAGCGAACAGG